Molecule: ribosomal RNA, 938 nt
Filed under: Escherichia coli
Lineage: Bacteria; Pseudomonadati; Pseudomonadota; Gammaproteobacteria; Enterobacterales; Enterobacteriaceae
Description: partial 23S ribosomal RNA
Rfam family: Bacterial large subunit ribosomal RNA
Source: RNAcentral
AGGCGUGUGACUGCGUACCUUUUGUAUAAUGGGUCAGCGACUUAUAUUCUGUAGCAAGGUUAACCGAAUAGGGGAGCCGAAGGGAAACCGAGUCUUAACUGGGCGUUAAGUUGCAGGGUAUAGACCCGAAACCCGGUGAUCUAGCCAUGGGCAGGUUGAAGGUUGGGUAACACUAACUGGAGGACCGAACCGACUAAUGUUGAAAAAUUAGCGGAUGACUUGUGGCUGGGGGUGAAAGGCCAAUCAAACCGGGAGAUAGCUGGUUCUCCCCGAAAGCUAUUUAGGUAGCGCCUCGUGAAUUCAUCUCCGGGGGUAGAGCACUGUUUCGGCAAGGGGGUCAUCCCGACUUACCAACCCGAUGCAAACUGCGAAUACCGGAGAAUGUUAUCACGGGAGACACACGGCGGGUGCUAACGUCCGUCGUGAAGAGGGAAACAACCCAGACCGCCAGCUAAGGUCCCAAAGUCAUGGUUAAGUGGGAAACGAUGUGGGAAGGCCCAGACAGCCAGGAUGUUGGCUUAGAAGCAGCCAUCAUUUAAAGAAAGCGUAAUAGCUCACUGGUCGAGUCGGCCUGCGCGGAAGAUGUAACGGGGCUAAACCAUGCACCGAAGCUGCGGCAGCGACGCUGAUGCGUUGUUGGGUAGGGGAGCGUUCUGUAAGCCUGCGAAGGUGUGCUGUGAGGCAUGCUGGAGGUAUCAGAAGUGCGAAUGCUGACAUAAGUAACGAUAAAGCGGGUGAAAAGCCCGCUCGCCGGAAGACCAAGGGUUCCUGUCCAACGUUAAUCGGGGCAGGGUGAGUCGACCCCUAAGGCGAGGCCGAAAGGCGUAGUCGAUGGGAAACAGGUUAAUAUUCCUGUACUUGGUGUUACUGCGAAGGGGGGACGGAGAAGGCUAUGUUGGCCGGGCGACGGUUGUCCCGGUUUAAGCGUGUAGGCUGGU